GCGGGGGUGGCCGAGGCCCUUAAAGGGCGGGAUUCAGGUCAAAGGCGGCAGGUUCAGGACCUGCUGGCGUAGGCCUGCGUGGGUUCAAAUCCCACCCCCCGCACCA
RNAcentral lists this transfer RNA (106 nucleotides) under Thermoprotei archaeon. RNAcentral describes it as "tRNA-Leu". It matches the Rfam family "tRNA". Rfam says of the family: Transfer RNA (tRNA) molecules are approximately 80 nucleotides in length. Their secondary structure includes four short double-helical elements and three loops (D, anti-codon, and T loops). Further hydrogen bonds mediate the characteristic L-shaped molecular structure. tRNAs have two regions of fundamental functional importance: the anti-codon, which is responsible for specific mRNA codon recognition, and the 3' end, to which the tRNAs corresponding amino acid is attached (by aminoacyl-tRNA synthetases). tRNAs cope with the degeneracy of the genetic code in two manners: having more than one tRNA (with a specific anti-codon) for a particular amino acid; and 'wobble' base-pairing, i.e. permitting non-standard base-pairing at the 3rd anti-codon position. The record is from RNAcentral. RNAcentral also lists the same sequence under 1 other name. Lineage: Archaea; Thermoproteati; Thermoproteota; Thermoprotei.